UGUUCUCAAUCAUGGAGUUCAACUAUCCACGCUCAGGUAUUAGGUUUGAAACCCUAGAAGUGGUAGAUUAGAUCUAUUACUGAAUACUGUUUUUGGUUCACAUGCUUGUUAUUUUAGAUUCAGAUUUUUAUGCAUAUAAAUUUAUAUCAUCAAUCCAUUUGUAAGAGUUUUAAGAUCAAAUAUUAUGUAUGUAUUUAUAG
RNAcentral lists this long non-coding RNA (200 nucleotides) under Elaeis guineensis (African oil palm). RNAcentral's name for it is "long non-coding RNA (EGUI_LNC078466)". Lineage: Eukaryota; Viridiplantae; Streptophyta; Magnoliopsida; Arecales; Arecaceae. The record is from RNAcentral.